This 71-nucleotide transfer RNA is filed under the name Angiostrongylus costaricensis. It matches the Rfam family "tRNA". From Rfam's summary of the family: Transfer RNA (tRNA) molecules are approximately 80 nucleotides in length. Their secondary structure includes four short double-helical elements and three loops (D, anti-codon, and T loops). Further hydrogen bonds mediate the characteristic L-shaped molecular structure. tRNAs have two regions of fundamental functional importance: the anti-codon, which is responsible for specific mRNA codon recognition, and the 3' end, to which the tRNAs corresponding amino acid is attached (by aminoacyl-tRNA synthetases). tRNAs cope with the degeneracy of the genetic code in two manners: having more than one tRNA (with a specific anti-codon) for a particular amino acid; and 'wobble' base-pairing, i.e. permitting non-standard base-pairing at the 3rd anti-codon position. Lineage: Eukaryota; Metazoa; Nematoda; Chromadorea; Rhabditida; Metastrongylidae. The record is from Rfam by way of RNAcentral.
GCGUUUGUGGUGUAAUGGUUAGCAUGGGUGCCUUCCAAGCAUUCGACGGGGGUUCGAUUACCCCAAACGCA